AGCAGUCGCCGCGGGAAUACGAAGGGUGCAAGCGUUACUCGGAAUUACUGGGCGUAAAACGUGCGUAGGUGGUGGUUUAAGUCCGUUGUGAAAGCCCUGGGCUCAACCUGGGAAUUGCAGUGGAUACUGGGUCACUAGAGUGUGGUAGAGGAUAGUGGAAUUUCCGGUGUAGCAGUGAAAUGCGUAGAGAUCGGAAGGAACAUCUGUGGCGAAGGCGACUAUCUGGGCCAACACUGACACUGAGGCACGAAAGCGUGGGGAGCAAACAGGAUUAGAUACCCCCGUAGUCCCUGUCUCUUAUAC
This 303-nucleotide ribosomal RNA is filed under the name uncultured bacterium. RNAcentral's name for it is "partial 16S ribosomal RNA". It matches the Rfam family "Bacterial small subunit ribosomal RNA", at positions 507 to 807 of the family's 1533-position model. The record is from RNAcentral.